RNAcentral lists this ribosomal RNA (253 nucleotides) under uncultured bacterium. Its description in RNAcentral is "partial 16S ribosomal RNA". It matches the Rfam family "Bacterial small subunit ribosomal RNA", at positions 524 to 776 of the family's 1533-position model. The record is from RNAcentral.
UACGGAGGGGGCUAGCGUUGUUCGGAAAUACUGGGCGUAAAGCGCACGUAGGCGGCGCAGCAAGUCAGGGGUGAAAUCCCGGGGCUCAACCUCGAGCUGUCGGUGGAAACUGUCUGACUAGAGUCCGGAAGAGGAGAGUGGAAUUCCUGGUGUAGCGGUGAAAUGCGCAGAUAUCAGGAAGAACACCUAUGGCGAAGGCAGCUCUCUGGGACGGUACUGACGCUGAGACGCGAAAGCGUGGGGAGCGAACAGG